CAGUAUGAGAUAUAAAUGUUUACUGCAGUUUUGACAAUGCCCAUCAAGUGGAGUUGCUGUGAGUUCUCAUGCAGUGUAUGAAAAGUACAGUACUGCUGUUGGAAGAGGAGCAGUGUGGUAUCUAUGGUCCACCAUCACUUCAAGCAUUAUGACUAUGGAUAAAAGAAGGUUUCAUUACAUAUGGACAACUAUAUUGGACAAAAUAAGAAGUGUUCUAAUAAGUUCUGGAAUGUGGCUUGUUAUGAUGGGUCUGCUUGAUUGGCUUGGAGUACAACCUGAUGGGGACUGGGCUUGCAGAAUUCAGUCCUGAACAUGUUUAGAAUGUCUUCUGCAUGACCUAGUAUAGUAUUCUUGAAGGAUUAUAACUUCAACACAGAGACGGAGAUUAAUAUUUUAGGCAGGGGAUUGGCAU
Mercenaria mercenaria is the source of this 412-nucleotide long non-coding RNA. RefSeq lists it as uncharacterized. The record is from RefSeq and is a predicted model, not a curated record. NCBI's taxonomy places the organism in Eukaryota, Metazoa, Mollusca, Bivalvia, Venerida, Veneridae. The transcript has 4 exons.